AAAGAUCAUGCUUCUGAGCUCUGUUAUUAAAGUUGAUAUCUGACUUUCAGAGCUCUGAAUUAUUUGUGUAUUGAUUUAUCUUACAUUUGGCAAGUCAUCCAUUUUCCAUUAGCAAAAUCGAUUCAUUAUUAUUAACAAAUUCUUCUUCAUUUACUUUUAUUUUCCUUCCUUUUUGGGCUGCAGGAAUCUCUAUGCAGAUUCGGCAAAUCUAAAAAGAUGCAAUAGAGGAUGUGUACCUUGAAGAACUGCUUUAUAAACAGCAGGAUUCUUAGACAGAAGACGCAGCAUAAAAGUCAUAAGAACGGAUGAGGUAUCAUGUCCUGCAACCAUGACUAGCAUGAUAUUGUGCAAAAUUUCCUUGUCAGUCACAACUCGUUUAUUUUCUUCAUCGCGCUUACUUAACAGGCAUGUGAUCAAGUCUUGUUGAGGAGUGGCAGUACGCUGCUCUAGUUUCACUUUCUUCUCUUGUACAAGUUCCUUCAACAGAUCUUGGACCCUGGAGCUUGCACGAAGGCUCCUACUGUAGCGAGUGAACGGCAGCUUUAUUGGUAUCGACCACAUUCCCUCUAUCAUUUCUUGAAAAUUUUGCAAGAAUUUUUCUUUUUCAGCUCUUUCCUCCAUACCAAAGAGAAGAGAGCAUAUGAUGUUGAAUGUAAGGUUUUUCAUCAGGGGCAAUGCCUAUAGGAAAAUCAAAACACAUUAGUGUUAUUUACUCUGCUUUUGUUUAUCAAACAGAAUAUGCCCCCUCCUAGUCUAUGCAUUCAUUCUCAUAGUCAAUACAUGUAGAGUCCAUACAAUUGUGAACACCAGUUAUAUGAGUGUGAGUGCAUACUCCAUAUGUUUCUUAAAAUUGAAAAGUAUUGAAUUUAUCUCAAACCGAUCAAAGCAACAGUGGGAGUCUUAUAGCAUAUCGACAUACCGCAACUUUUUCCUUGCCCCGCCAGUGCAACUCGAUGUGCUUUCUGACUUCUUCAUCCAUUUUCCCGACGUACUGCUUCAGAGAUUCUGGUCGCAAGAACGACACCAGAGAGUCUCUCACGCGUUUGUGAUCUUGGCCACUGAGUUCCAGCAGAUUGCGGUCUCCUAGAAUAGCGCGGAUGGAUGCUGUUUGUUUGUUGGCUAUCUUGCUGCUGUCUC
Molecule: long non-coding RNA, 1137 nt
Filed under: Eucalyptus grandis
Lineage: Eukaryota; Viridiplantae; Streptophyta; Magnoliopsida; Myrtales; Myrtaceae
Description: long non-coding RNA (EGRA_LNC003543)
Source: RNAcentral